RNAcentral lists this transfer RNA (65 nucleotides) under Brachynopus latus. RNAcentral describes it as "tRNA-Ala". Lineage: Eukaryota; Metazoa; Arthropoda; Insecta; Coleoptera; Staphylinidae. The record is from RNAcentral.
AGGAUUAUAGUUAAUUAUAACGUUUAAUUUGCAUUUAAAAAUUAUUGAUCUAUCAAUUAAUCUUU